This 246-nucleotide unclassified non-coding RNA is filed under the name uncultured fungus. Its description in RNAcentral is "sequence contains ITS2". The stretch from base 1 to 52 matches the Rfam family "5.8S ribosomal RNA", at positions 103 to 154 of the family's 154-position model. The record is from RNAcentral. Lineage: Eukaryota; Fungi.
AACGCACAUUGCGCCCCUUGGUAUUCCGAGGGGCAUGCCUGUUCGAGCGUCAUUACAACCCUCAAGCAAAUUGGCUUGGUAUUGGGCCCCGCUGCUCACCCAGCGGGCCUUAAAAUCAGUGGCGGUGCCAUCGAGGCCCUGAGCGUAGUAAAUAUCCUCGCUAUAGGGACUUGGUGGACGCUGGCCAUCAACCCCCAACUUUCUAAGUUUGACCUCGGAUCAGGUAGGGAUACCCGCUGAACUUAA